This is a long non-coding RNA of Choloepus didactylus (southern two-toed sloth), 1227 nucleotides long. RefSeq lists it as uncharacterized. The record is from RefSeq and is a predicted model, not a curated record. The transcript has 4 exons. Lineage: Eukaryota; Metazoa; Chordata; Mammalia; Pilosa; Megalonychidae.
GAUGCUUUCACUGCAGAAAUCCUUAAUUGGGUGCUCUCACUUGCAUGGGAGCCUGAGAGGAUCACCUCAUUUAAAGAAGUCUACUCCACAGAAACUAGCUGCUUCAACUUCUUCAACUAGGAUCUCUGUCUCAUCAAUUCAGUGAGGUUGCUAUGCCCUGUUUGACUUUUUUUUUCUUUCUGAGCUGCAGUUAACAGAUUACUUUCAGUCAGAAAGAUUUUGUGAUGGUGUUUACCUUGAGUUGGUAAUUUUGGCCAAUGCUAUUCUCUCAUCCAUGGAAGCAGUGUGAGGAAACAAUGCUGGCAACCAGAGUUAAAGAAGGACUGGCAAUAGAAGAGAAUACUGCAGCUAUUAAGGCAGCUGAAACAAACUGAUUUAUUGUUUCCUGAACCAAUUAUUUUAGUUAGAUUCUUCUAAAUUCCCCCAUGCUUUGAAUUUCUGGUGUGAAAAAAAGGACAAAAAAUGUAUACUUAGAUCUAUAUAUAGAUCUAUAUAUAGAUACUUAGAUCUAUAUAUAGAUUUGAUUAUGUCUGUUUUCUGUAAAUUCUAAGGGUAGUGAUGUAACCUAUCAUUUUUAAAUUUUCUUUUUGCCUAUAAAAUAUAUCCAUGCAAAAUACUUAGCUUCCAAGCAAUCACAUAAUAUUAGAAAUAUAUAUGCUCUAUAUGAAUACUUAUCCUAGGAGAGCAGCAAAAAGGCAAAGAAUAUAGAGUGCUUUUCUGUAAAAGUUUGAAGAAAGACAUAAGCACUAUAAUACAAAGAAACAGGUCAUAAAUGCCUUACAGAAAUUGAAAAGAAAUUUAAAAGACCAAAGUACUGAGGUUCAGACACAGGAAUGAAUGUCAUCUGCACACCUGUAUCAACAUACCAUAUGUGCUGGUUUGGAUAUAUUAUGUCCCCCACAAAAAUUAUUAUCUCUUAACUCAAUCUUGUUGGAUGUAAACUCUUGACUGAAUGUUUCCAUGGAGAUAUGACUCACCCAAUGGUGGGUGAUACCUUUGAUUAGAUUAUUUCCAUGGAGAUGUGGGCCCUGCCCACUCAGGGAGAGUCUUAAUUGGUCCACUGGAUUACUUAAGAGAUCUCAAAAACUGACACAAAUGCUUGCUGACACACGGACACUCUUGGAGAUGCAGACAGAAAGAUGUUUGCAGAUGCUAAGCUCAGAGAUGAAGCCCAGAGUUUGCCCCAAAGAAGCUAAGAGAGGACCCCCAGAUACUUAGAGAGAAACA